CCUACGGGGGGCUGCAGUGGGGAAUAUUGCACAACGGGCGCAAGCCUGAUGCAGCCAUGCCGCGUGUGUGAAGAGGGCCUUCGGGUUGUAAAGCACUUUCAGCGGGGAGGAAGGCGUUAAGGUUAAUAACCUUGGCGAUUGACGUUACCCGCAGAAGAAGCACCGGCUAACUCCGUGCCAGCAGCCGCGGUAAUACGGAGGGUGCAAGCGUUAAUCGGAAUUACUGGGCGUAAAGCGCACGCAGGCGGUCUGUCAAGUCGGAUGUGAAAUCCCCGGGCUCAACCUGGGAACUGCAUUCGAAACUGGCAGGCUAGAGUCUUGUAGAGGGGGGUAGAAUUCCAGGUGUAGCGGUGAAAUGCGUAGAGAUCUGGAGGAAUACCGGUGGCGAAGGCGGCCCCCUGGACAAAGACUGACGCUCAGGUGCGAAAGCGUGGGGAGCAAACAGGAUUAGAUACCCGGGUAGUC
Molecule: ribosomal RNA, 465 nt
Filed under: uncultured Klebsiella sp.
Lineage: Bacteria; Pseudomonadati; Pseudomonadota; Gammaproteobacteria; Enterobacterales; Enterobacteriaceae
Description: bacterial SSU rRNA
Rfam family: Bacterial small subunit ribosomal RNA
Source: RNAcentral